GCGGCAGGCCUAACACAUGCAAGUCGAGCGGAUGACGGGAGCUUGCUCCUUGAUUCAGCGGCGGACGGGUGAGUAAUGCCUAGGAAUCUGCCUGGUAGUGGGGGACAACGUUUCGAAAGGAACGCUAAUACCGCAUACGUCCUACGGGAGAAAGCAGGGGACCUUCGGGCCUUGCGCUAUCAGAUGAGCCUAGGUCGGAUUAGCUAGUUGGUGGGGUAAUGGCUCACCAAGGCGACGAUCCGUAACUGGUCUGAGAGGAUGAUCAGUCACACUGGAACUGAGACACGGUCCAGACUCCUACGGGAGGCAGCAGUGGGGAAUAUUGGACAAUGGGCGAAAGCCUGAUCCAGCCAUGCCGCGUGUGUGAAGAAGGUCUUCGGAUUGUAAAGCACUUUAAGUUGGGAGGAAGGGCAGUAAGCUAAUACCUUGCUGUUUUGACGUUACCGACAGAAUAAGCACCGGCUAACUCUGUGCCAGCAGCCGCGGUAAUACAGAGGGUGCAAGCGUUAAUCGGAAUUACUGGGCGUAAAGCGCGCGUAGGUGGUUUGUUAAGUUUGGAUGU
Molecule: ribosomal RNA, 562 nt
Filed under: Pseudomonas sp. 1.1
Lineage: Bacteria; Pseudomonadati; Pseudomonadota; Gammaproteobacteria; Pseudomonadales; Pseudomonadaceae
Description: bacterial SSU rRNA
Rfam family: Bacterial small subunit ribosomal RNA
Source: RNAcentral